UGAGUUUGAUCAUGGCUCAGAUUGAACGCUGGCGGCAGGCCUAACACAUGCAAGUCGAGCGGUAACAGGACUAGCUUGCUAGUUGCUGACGAGCGGCGGACGGGUGCGUAACACGUAGGAAUCUGCCCGGUAGUGGGGGAUAGCCCGGAGAAAUCCGGAUUAAUACCGCAUACGCCUUACGAGGGAAAGGAGGGGCCUCUUCGGAGCCUUUCGCUAUCGGAUGAGCCUGCGUCGGAUUAGCUAGUUGGUGGGGUAAAGGCCUACCAAGGCGACGAUCCGUAGCUGGUCUGAGAGGAUGAUCAGCCACACUGGGACUGAGACACGGCCCAGACUCCUACGGGAGGCAGCAGUGGGGAAUAUUGCACAAUGGGGGAAACCCUGAUGCAGCCAUGCCGCGUGUGUGAAGAAGGCUCUAGGGUUGUAAAGCACUUUCAGCGAGGAGGAAAGGUUGCUGGUUAAUACCCAGCGGCUGUGACGUUACUCGCAGAAGAAGCACCGGCUAACUCCGUGCCAGCAGCCGCGGUAAUACGGAGGGUGCGAGCGUUAAUCGGAAUUA
This 556-nucleotide ribosomal RNA is filed under the name uncultured Gammaproteobacteria bacterium. Its description in RNAcentral is "bacterial SSU rRNA". It matches the Rfam family "Bacterial small subunit ribosomal RNA", at positions 1 to 553 of the family's 1533-position model. Lineage: Bacteria; Pseudomonadati; Pseudomonadota; Gammaproteobacteria. The record is from RNAcentral.